AACGAACGCUGGUGGCGUGCUUGACACAUGCAAGUCGAACGAGAAAGUUUCCUUCGGGAAAUUAGUAAAGUGGCGCAAGGGUGAGUAUCACGUGAAUAAUCUGCCCUCGAGAUCGGGAUAACAUGGUGAAAACUAUGCUAAUACCGGAUAAGACCACAUUUCACAAGAAAUGCGGAAAAAGGAGUCUCAAUCUCCACUCGAGGAUGAGUUCGCGGACCAUUAGCUUGUUGGUGAGAUAAAGCUCACCAAGGCUACGAUGGUUAGCCGGCCUGAGAGGGUGAACGGCCACACUGGAACUGAGACACGGUCCAGACUCCUACGGGAGGCAGCAGUGGGGAAUAUUGCGCAAUGGGCGAAAGCCUGACGCAGCAACGCCGUGUGAGCGAUG
This 388-nucleotide ribosomal RNA is filed under the name uncultured Nitrospina sp. RNAcentral's name for it is "bacterial SSU rRNA". It matches the Rfam family "Bacterial small subunit ribosomal RNA", at positions 29 to 410 of the family's 1533-position model. Lineage: Bacteria; Pseudomonadati; Nitrospinota; Nitrospinia; Nitrospinales; Nitrospinaceae. The record is from RNAcentral.